This 400-nucleotide ribosomal RNA is filed under the name uncultured bacterium. RNAcentral describes it as "bacterial SSU rRNA". It matches the Rfam family "Bacterial small subunit ribosomal RNA", at positions 975 to 1375 of the family's 1533-position model. The record is from RNAcentral.
CUGGACUAGAAUGUGAGGGAAGUUCGUCUAAUAGCGAACGUCUGGGAAACCAGACCCAAAACAAGGUGCUGCAUGGCUGUCGUCAGCUCGUGUCGUGAGAUGUUGGGUUAAGUCCCGCAACGAGCGCAACCCUUAUCAACGGUUGCCAUCAUUAAGUUGGGAACUCUGUUGAGACUGCCGUUGAUAAAACGGAGGAAGGUGGGGAUGAUGUCAAGUCAUCAUGGCCUUUAUGUUCAGGGCUACACACGUGCUACAAUGGCCGGUACAAAACGUCGCAAUCCCGUAAGGGGGAGCUAAUCGCAAAAACCGGUCUCAGUUCGGAUUGAAGUCUGCAACUCGACUUCAUGAAGUUGGAAUCGCUAGUAAUCGCGGAUCAGAACGCCGCGGUGAAUACGUUCCC